UACGUAGGGGGCAAGCGUUGUCCGGAUUCAUUGGGCGUAAAGAGCGUGUAGGCGGCCAGGUAGGUCGGUUGUGAAAACUGGAGGCUCAACCUUCAGAGGUCGACCGAAACCAUCUGGCUAGAGUCCGGGAGAGGAGAGUGGAAUUCCUGGUGUAGCGGUGAAAUGCGCAGAUAUCAGGAAGAACACCCGUGGCGAAAGCGGCUCGCUGGGACGGUACUGACGCUAAGGCGCGAAAGCGUGGGGAGCGAACAGG
RNAcentral lists this ribosomal RNA (253 nucleotides) under uncultured bacterium. RNAcentral's name for it is "partial 16S ribosomal RNA". It matches the Rfam family "Bacterial small subunit ribosomal RNA", at positions 524 to 776 of the family's 1533-position model. The record is from RNAcentral.